This is a non-coding RNA of Triticum aestivum (bread wheat), 135 nucleotides long. Lineage: Eukaryota; Viridiplantae; Streptophyta; Magnoliopsida; Poales; Poaceae. The record is from Rfam.
AAAGUACUCCCUCCGUCCCAAAAUUCUUGUCUUAGAUUUGUCUAGAUACGGAUGUAUCAAGUCACAUUUUAGUAUUAGAUACAUCCGUAUCUACACAAAUCUAAGACAAGAAAUUUGGGACAGAGGGAGUAGUUG